This 466-nucleotide ribosomal RNA is filed under the name uncultured bacterium. RNAcentral describes it as "bacterial SSU rRNA". It matches the Rfam family "Bacterial small subunit ribosomal RNA", at positions 331 to 794 of the family's 1533-position model. The record is from RNAcentral.
CCAGACUCCUACGGGAGGCAGCAGUGAGGAAUAUUGGUCAAUGGACGAGAGUCUGAACCAGCCAAGUAGCGUGAAGGAUGACUGCCCUAUGGGUUGUAAACUUCUUUUAUAAAGGAAUAAAACGAGGCACGUGUGCCUUUUUGCAUGUACUUUAUGAAUAAGGAUCGGCUAACUCCGUGCCAGCAGCCGCGGUAAUACGGAGGAUCCGAGCGUUAUCCGGAUUUAUUGGGUUUAAAGGGAGCGUAGGUGGAUUGUUAAGUCAGUUGUGAAAGUUUGCGGCUCAACCGUAAAAUUGCAGUUGAAACUGGCAGUCUUGAGUACAGUAGAGGUGGGCGGAAUUCGUGGUGUAGCGGUGAAAUGCUUAGAUAUCACGCAGAACGCCGAUUGCGAAGGCAGCUUACCGGCGCUCAACUGACGCUGAGGCACGAAAGUGCGGGUAUCGAACAGGAUUAGAUACCCCCGUAAA